Amphibalanus amphitrite is the source of this 952-nucleotide long non-coding RNA. RefSeq lists it as uncharacterized. NCBI's taxonomy places the organism in Eukaryota, Metazoa, Arthropoda, Thecostraca, Balanomorpha, Balanidae. The transcript has 2 exons. The record is from RefSeq and is a predicted model, not a curated record.
AAGACCUCUUCACAUACUGGGCGUUGAUGCAAUGGGUACGAAACAGAUAGGGCUUUACUGUUUACGCUUCUUAUGUGAGGCAGUCUUUAGGCAAAAAAUUCGGUAAAAGUAUACAUAAGGUCCGAGUGCCUGUUAAAAGAUAAAGUUUUCACAUUCUUACAUUCUUUGACAUCCUGAAUCCAAAAAUGAUACUUACAUGUACUGGAAACGUGGAAAAAACACCAAAUCACCAACCCAUUUCACUACAAUACCAUGGAUGAAGUAGUACCUGGAUCGGCAACUCCUCGAUGUUUGUGACCACCGCUAGGUGGCAGUGGUGUCGAGCGCUAAGGACGCGGGGGAGCGGGUGCUAUUCAAAACAAUGGUCGGCGUCGCGUCGUAGGAUCGUUUGCCUUGUUUUUUGAAAAGUUAAGCCCCUUUGGAGCAGAUUGGAAGGUUUCAGAAGAUGGAGGAAGAUGGCAAGAUCAAAGAGAUGGGUUCAGUUUCCACGGUGUGCUGACUUGAAUUGACAUCCUGUGAUUUGUGAUGUGAAUUAUGAUGCACGCACUCGCAGGUGCACGCCCACUGCGGACACGUGUGACGUGACGGCAGCAGGCGGCCGGGGUGUGAACUGUGAACUGGCUCGACCGAAAAUGUUUAAGGUAUCACAGCGUUUGUAACUGACUAACAUACCCACUACGGGCAUACCCAUUGAACGGAUAAUGCGUUCGUGUGCAUCGUGUUUGCAUUUAUUCCCGAUAUACUCUGGUGGUAGGUGUGAAUUGGAAACCAGCUUGGUGCUACGACACCGUUUAGUAGGCAUGUGGCACGUCGUUUCUCGAAACCUACCUAUCAGUCUAUGCAAUAAUAUGCAUUGUAUACAUUGUGUGUCAUCGUUCACCUUAGUUGUCAUUGAACCUGUGUUAAAUUCUGAACUUCAGGCCGAGACAGACUAUUUCCACAGUCAGGAAAU